Long non-coding RNA from Carassius gibelio (silver crucian carp), 488 nucleotides. RefSeq lists it as uncharacterized. The record is from RefSeq and is a predicted model, not a curated record. Lineage: Eukaryota; Metazoa; Chordata; Actinopteri; Cypriniformes; Cyprinidae. The transcript is spliced from 3 exons.
AGUCAAAGAUGGAUCAUUCCAGACCUGAGGAUGACAGAUACAAAGCAUCUGAUGUUGAUACGACUGAACGUUUGUAUGAGAAUGUCAUAAUGAAUUAUUCCAGAGCUCAUGAUGACAGUCUUAAUGACUAUGAUGUUGAGUCGACUGAACCUGUGUAUGAGAAUGUAAUGCGUGACAGGCCAUAGUGUUUGGGACGUGUGGCAAAACAUUUUACAGCCUUUUUCUGUUUAUCUGUGGGUCCAGCCUGAAUGAUUGACAGUGUCUUAAUUUACAGAAAUUAAUUUAGAAACUGGUUCUAUCACAGAGUGACUUACAAAUGAUAAGCCUUACAAGCUAAAAUUUAAUUUUACUGUAUUUUAAAGCAUAAAAUUAUUUUAUAAAUUAGAAUGAAAACUAUCAUGUAAGAAUCUCAUUUGAUGUUAACUUUACCAUAUUCUGCCUAUUCUGUGUUUUUAAAGAUUGUAUAUUGCAUUUUUAUUAAAGUGUAU